CCUUCGAUAGCUCAGUUGGUAGAGCGGGGGACUGUAGAUUUAUAAUUGUGAUCCCUAAAUCGCUGGUUCGAAUCCGGCUCGAAAUU
Non-coding RNA from Nematostella vectensis (starlet sea anemone), 86 nucleotides. Lineage: Eukaryota; Metazoa; Cnidaria; Anthozoa; Actiniaria; Edwardsiidae. The record is from Rfam.